Molecule: ribosomal RNA, 253 nt
Filed under: uncultured bacterium
Lineage: Bacteria
Also listed under: 1 other name
Description: partial 16S ribosomal RNA
Rfam family: Bacterial small subunit ribosomal RNA
Source: RNAcentral
UACGGAGGGGGCUAGCGUUGUUCGGAAUUACUGGGCGUAAAGCGCACGUAGGCGGAUCGGAAAGUUGGGGGUGAAAUCCCGGGGCUCAACCUCGGAACUGCCUUCAAAACUAUCGGUCUUGAGUUCGAGAGAGGUGAGUGGAAUUCCGAGUGUAGAGGUGAAAUUCGUAGAUAUUCGGAGGAACACCAGUGGCGAAGGCGGCUCACUGGCUCGAUACUGACGCUGAGGUGCGAAAGCGUGGGGAGCAAACAGG